This 220-nucleotide long non-coding RNA is filed under the name Homo sapiens (human). RNAcentral describes it as "non-protein coding LINC02374:10". Lineage: Eukaryota; Metazoa; Chordata; Mammalia; Primates; Hominidae. The record is from RNAcentral.
CCCACACUCAGUGAGAGGGAUUACAUGAAUGUGUGACCACCAGGAGAUGGUAACAAUUGGGGUCAUGAGGGGAUAUGACUGCUACAAUCUCCCAUCAUCAAAAACAAAAACAGGAAUCUACACUCGGCUGGGAAGUGAGAGACUCAAAACAACGUGAGAAGUAGAAAGCGGGCAAGUUUGUUGGGGCCAUAUGUAACUUCAUGAAUAUCACUGUUUCAAG